UACAGAGGUCCCAAGCGUUGUUCGGAUUCACUGGGCGUAAAGGGUGCGUAGGUGGCCAGGUAAGUUCGGUGUGAAAGCUCGGAGCUCAACUCCGAAAUGUCAUUGAAUACUAUCUGGCUGGAGGGUCGGAGGGGAGACUGGAAUUCUCGGUGUAGCAGUGAAAUGCGUAGAUAUCGAGAGGAACACCAGUGGCGAAGGCGGCAUCCUGGACCAUUACUGACGCUGAGGCGCGAAAGCUAGGGGAGCAAACGGG
Molecule: ribosomal RNA, 253 nt
Filed under: uncultured bacterium
Lineage: Bacteria
Description: partial 16S ribosomal RNA
Rfam family: Bacterial small subunit ribosomal RNA
Source: RNAcentral